This 2304-nucleotide long non-coding RNA is filed under the name Rattus norvegicus (Norway rat). RNAcentral describes it as "long non-coding RNA NONRATT031085". Lineage: Eukaryota; Metazoa; Chordata; Mammalia; Rodentia; Muridae. The record is from RNAcentral.
UGGAAGCAUAUUUAGCCAUCUAUGUGGCUUUAUGAUCCACAGGCCUUCCUUCUAGUCCUGUACAAAUGUACCUUUCUAUAAUGGGUGCAAGCAGUAUUCACAAGAAAUCCACAACAGAGCAACCUUCCCUGACCCCGCUGGUCUUCCGCUGACGUACAGUACAGAAGCUGCGCUCUGUGCUUUGAAGUCCGGAAAGCAUCAGGAACUUCUUCUCUGUGGAGUAUGUGAGCAUUCAGCCCUGGUAGGCAUCGUGUCACAAAAGACAGUGUUGGUAAAGUACAGGGAAGCAAGCUGAUUGUUCAGUGUCUUAAGACUUAGGCUGUCUUCAAAAGGCCAAAUAAACCAGGGUUUUCUCUGGCUGCUUGGAGAAAGAAGAAACCCAAUUUUUGUUUUAGUAUCUUGAGCUCAUUAGUUGAUACACGUUGAUAGUACCCCUAUGCAUAGAUUCUUUGUGUAUUGAUUACUGUAUAUAGACAUCUAAGUGGUUAGUUCUUGAUCAAGAAGACAGGUUUGUGCCAUAAUUAGCACACCCUGACCUCACUCAUUUGCUUUCUUUUCCUUGGAACCCUGCCCAGUAACUUCUGUGGGAUCUCAUUCCCCAAUCUUUGGGACUCUGCUUCCACAGUUGGAAAGUAGAACUACUUGCUGUUAAAUAUCCCACAGCUAAAAGGUGCUAUGUAACGCUAUAGUGCUCUUAUGUACUUUUAUUUGCAGGACUAGAAUGAAAAGUUUAAACAUUACAGUAUUUCUGAGCAAACAAAUGUGCUCCAUUCUUCUCCUCCAUGCUUAGUGCACAAUGUUUCCUUGCAGAGCCUAGAGUACUUUGUUAAUGUUCUUCCAUUUGUUCCAACAAUGUCCUUGGGAAAAGAUAGAAUGGAAAUUAUUUUUCCAAAAAUUAAACAUAAAGGAGAUAAAGUGCCAUCCAAAAGCACAUAGAUACUAUUAGAGAGACUUUACUUUCUAGUGCCGGAAUAACCAUGGAGCAAAGAGAACAGAACCACAUUCCAAGUGUCCCUCUUUCUCCGACAUCUUGAAGUUUGCAAUUUAGACAACUCUUUAUUUUCUAAUGCAAUAUGUGCCUCUUGCCCUCACUGAAACUUUAAGACAUAUGUAUUUCGCACUACAUGGCAUCAGCCAUUGCCAUAGUCUCCUGUGGCACCUAGACAGCCCAAUCUCAGGGUUUGUUUUUCCAGGGAAAAAUAAAUGUGCUUCCUCAUGUUCCUGCCAAAUUGCACAAAGUAUAGGCAUUUGUGUUAAUGGGGCUUAAGCACAGUCGUAGAAGGCGUUUUAAGAAUACUGUGUAGUAUACAUUAUUGCAAUAUACACCUGAGAUUUAACAAGGCCCCAAAUGACAGGAAUGUAAUAAUCAUUCAUAGUCUAUCUCUUUCAACUCUCAUCCUUGAUAUCUAGCUACAUGUGUGCACAUGGACAUGAAUGCACACCCUUUCUUUAAAGGCAGAUUGCUAGGUCAUUAGAACAAAUGUUUCACAGGGAUGAUUCUGUUCUUUAAUGAAGUCCAAAAUCAAAAGAAGUGAAGAACAUUUCAUUUAUCUAUUCUGAAAUGUCUGCUGUCAGAGUGUCAGUUUGGCUGAAAGACAUGUUCUGUGCAGAGGCACAGAGGACAUCUAACAAGAUCAUCAGACCCUAAUGCAAGUUCCAUGUUCACAGAAAAUUCAUGCACUCUGUGCAAACAGGAUGAAAUGGCUGACAGUGUGUGCUACAUUUGCAUUUAUUUAACCAUACCUAUAAAAUACCAUAUUAUACUGUAGCCUUUGCAUGUAAGUAUUAUGUAAUAAAGCAAGAAAUGGGUGGCUUUUAACUAGCAUGCAACCCUUAACUUGUUUAUUACCCCCAAAAGGGCUAAGGCUUGUCCAGCACAGUAUGUAAAAUCAUUAAAUGUGUUCUUUGGAGAAACCUGGUUAAUAUCCAUCAGCAGAAUGAGUUAGAACACAAUCUGUCUAUUAUGAUGUUUGGGUUUGGUAGGGAAUGGUUAAAAAGAAAAGAACAAUAAAAUAAAAUGCAUUCAAAGAGUAAUUGCUUUCAGCCUGCUGUCUAAAUCAGCAAAGGAACACAGCGGGAAAGAGAGGUCUGGGUCUAGGUAAUAUAUGGAAUGUAUUGGAGAGCUAGAAAAGGAAAGACACUGGGGGACUUCAACAGUUAAGCUCAAGUUGCCAAUUUGCUAUAAAUCCCUUUUGCCAUCAGUCUGCUUACAGUGAUAAAUAUAGUGUUCUUAAAACGAUGUGCAGAAAUACUGAAAAAAAAAUGCCGGUCAGCUUUCUAUCUUCCUAUGUUCUUUAUUAAAAC